This is a long non-coding RNA of Esox lucius (northern pike), 1330 nucleotides long. The record is from Ensembl. NCBI's taxonomy places the organism in Eukaryota, Metazoa, Chordata, Actinopteri, Esociformes, Esocidae.
GCCGGGGGUGUUCACUUAUAUGGGACAGAGAAAACGGGAAAUACUGUUGAGCCGUGUGUUACUCCGCUCUCUUGCUCCGCGGCGCCCUGGUGAAACAGAUCGCUGAUCCACAGCCCUUUUUAAGCACCUGGAACCCCCAUCAGCCUAGAACCUCCAUCAACCUGGAACCCCCAUCAGCCUAGAACCUCCAUCAGCCUAGAACCCCCAUCAGCCUAGAACCUCCAUCAACCUGGAACCUCCAUCCUGUCUAGUGAACUUAAGCAGUGUUUGGACCAGCAGACCAAUAACAAUAUUUUCUUCCUCUAAUUGAUCAUUUUCGUUUUCUGCUAUCCCCACCAGCGUUGAUAAAGAUCUGAUGUGUCAAAAGAACCAAAAAUGAAUCGUAAUUGGGCUGACAGUCUAAUCCCAGCCUUGGAUUCUGUUAAAGGUUCAAUGCAGCCAUUCUUUAUUCUUAAUACCAAAUAACCUGUGUGAGCCAUUAAGAACUUUCAAUGUUAAGUUACUGCGAUUGUUUUCGGUAUGAUAUUAAAUGGAAAAUAGGGGAAGUAGGAAUGGGACCCCCGAUGUGCAGGGAGUCUGUGUGGAUGAGAGAUUCUAACUCGCCUAAAAACAGAACGCGCCAACAAGCCAACCAGCCUCCUUUGGCUUCCGACAAGGAUUCAGUUCAACUACGGACAAUCUCGGAGUUCGUAACCCUGCGUGCUGUGUGCUGAGAGUCCACCGUGAUCAGCUGGAACGCAACAGACAUCUGAAAAGCGUGAUGGCUCAGCAGGGGAUUCUUUACAAUCAGAAAGAUGGGGGCAGGUGGCUGGGAGGAAUUUCACCAGGAUCGCCCUCUAGGAUGCCCUCAGUCACUUCUGACAAGACAGCGUCUUAUUCACUGGAGGCUACGUGGAUGGCAGUGGAGGGGGAACGCUGUGCCCUUGACCUCUUCAGUGAUUGCUGAUUCAUCUGAAAUCCUUGUGACAUUGACUUGGGCUGCUGGGAAGUACUGGGUCAGGACCGGGCUGUGGGAUGUACUGGGUCAGGACCGGGCUAUGGGAUGUACUGGGUCAGGACCGGGCUGCUGGGAAGUACUGGGUCAGGGCAGGGCUGUGGGAUGUACUGGGUCAGGACCGGGCUGCUGGGAAGUACUGGGUCAGGGCAGGGCUGUGGGAUGUACUGGGUCAGGACUGGGCUGUGGUCGCUGUGUAGCAGCCUGUGGGGAUCUCAGGGCAGAGCCAGCCGAGGCCUGGUCAUAAAUAAAACAUAGUGAAACUAUAUUGUUCUCUGUGUGCAACUGUGUGAAAGGAGACGAGUGAGGUGAGAGAGACGGGAGGAGAGACGAGAG